Long non-coding RNA from Mustela erminea (ermine), 3646 nucleotides. RefSeq lists it as uncharacterized. Lineage: Eukaryota; Metazoa; Chordata; Mammalia; Carnivora; Mustelidae. The transcript is spliced from 6 exons. The record is from RefSeq and is a predicted model, not a curated record.
UCGGCGCGCCUCGCGGCCCCGCUGCUCCGGCGCGACCGCCGCGUCUGCACCGCGGUGAUCAGUUUGAAACACCCGCUUUUUUCUUUCCCCGUUUCCUCUCUACUUCUCGAUUCUGUCCUUGUUUGGGCAUCGGUGGGGGGCGGGCAGCAUUCUAGGACCCGCGGCGUUGGUGGCUCCUCUCCAUGGGGCUAACUCCAGAGGUAGGACCCCGGCAGGGAGAGAAAGCAGGAUAAAAAUGAGAACUAGAAUUUCAUUCCCCUCGAAGUCGAAGGACCCACUCGCGUAACUCCUCUUUGGGACACUCGCUCGCUUCUCAGCACCAGCAGGAAGGGCCGGGAGAGCGCGCAGCUCCGCUUCGGAGCCCGUGCCGCGGAGGCUGGCUUGCUCGCACCAACGCAGGACACCACCCUCGGGAACCGGCUAGGGGUCGGAGGAAGCCCGCCCUGGGGCGGCGGGGCCGCGCGGGACGGACCUUUGACCCAAGCCCUGUUCGUUUUCAAAGAAGGAGGGCACUUAUCCGAAAUUUGCAUUCGCGUGGCCUUUCAGGGCCCUUCCCUUUAAGCGAAGCUCCACCCGAAACUGCCAAGUGAAUUUGGUAGAUUUGGGACCCUAAGUUGGAAACCGAGAUAUGAAAGUGUGCUCCAGUCAAUCUUUACUUUUCACAGAGGACACCUAUUUGGGAAAUUCACAGACCCUCGAACCCCAUCUACGAAUCGCCAGUUAAUCACUUCUACUUUAGAGAAGAGAAAAUGCAACAACCCUAAGGAAGACAAUUUCAAAGGAGGUAUACUUACUCAGGACCUACUUGCCAGAAGUAUUUAGAAAUUACCUCACUUAACCUUCACAACAAUCCUCUGGGGAAGGUACUACAUCUCCAUCUUACAGAUGAGAAAAAUCAAAACCCAGAGAAGAAAGCAUCUUUUCUGCCAGCCUCUGAAGGUGCCAGUGGUCCAUGGCCUGCAAACCGUAGACUUGUUUCCAUGGUGCCGCCCUUGGGAACCCCAGCCCAGGACUUAGCGGAGGAGCUCAGCAGCUUCCAACCCUGGACCCCUCCUCAAUCUCCUUGGAGAAUUCCUUUCAACUUCCUGACCACUAAAUGUUGGAGUGCCUCAGGCUCAGUAUUCAGAGUUCUUCUGGUCUCCAUUACCCAGGUUGUAAAUUCCAGCCACGCAUGCCCUGACUUACUCAUCUCCACAUGCCUCCUGACUACAGCAUCGGGCCCUGGGAGGAGUGGAAUAAAAUGUCUGCAAAAGGAAUUUCAUAGAACCAUGACAGAGAAUGUACAGCCUCUUUCAGUGCUGAUCAUGAAUCGUUGGGGGUAGCAAAAGACCUUUCUGUAGCUGGGAGAGUUUUGAAAAUCUGUUCUCAAGUUCUUAGAGCAGGGGACGCAUCAUCUUCUGAAAAAGGAUUUAAAGGAAAGGAGACGGCGGGUUUUGAUGGAGUCGUCUGAGGAUAUACACAUGACGGAAAGGCAAGAGUUGAUGUGGUAAAGCCAGAAGUCCCUGUGUUGCUUCAUCCUUAGCUGUCCCCUUUCCCUGUUAUCCCUCAAGUUCCCAGUCUAAGCUAAUCUUUUGGGGGGAAUCUUUUUAGCCUUGUUAAUCAGGAGAGAGGAAACAUGAAGCAGAGCGAGAAAUUUACAGGAAGAGAUGUGACAUUCUGAAAAAUGUGUGUGUGCUUUGAAAUAUAUUCAAAUACGGACAUUCAAAUACGGAUUUGCCUUUUCUGACUGGGAGUAUCUAGGUUGUGUUGAAGGAAGAUUAAGAGUGUCAGAGCAGGGAUGCAAAGAGAAAGAUUCAACGUCCAGCCUUUGACAUCUAGAAGAGGACUUCUGGGUCUGCAGAAAAGCAUUUGUUUGAAAGUCAAUCUUUGUGGCGAGAGAAUUUCUUUAGCACCUGUCAAGAGCUGUCCUGUGGACCAGAUCAUUAAAAAAAAAAAAAAAAAAAGGGGCAGGGAUAAAGAGAAGUAAGUAUAUGACAGAGGGUAGGUGGCAUGUGUGAAUGAGGAGAGAAAAUGAGGGAACGUAGUCAGGGAGACCCAGGUGUCCUAACCACCCCUCUUUGGGCCAAUGUCCAAAGUCAAGGUCAGUUGGUAGAGGCAACAGCAAAGGGCUUUGUGCCCUGAACCUCUGGAUCCCUGGGAGGUUGGUAACAUCCACUGGUUGGCACAUGGACCAUGGCACAUCCCUGAAGGAGAAGUUGUCAUGACAGAUGGGCCCAGUGUAGCCCCCAGAUCUCCACAGCCCACAGGAAGUUUAUGGGGAGCCAGAGAUCUCCAAGAGGCCCACUGAAGAAAUUCAGAGAUUUGGGGAGAACUACCUGGAGCUUGAGAGUAAGGACAAAUGGCCAGCACUCUGGAACCUGGUGGCAGAUGACAGAAUGCUGUCCCCAGGGGGCAGGUCAAUGAGCCUGUUGAGCCUCCAGAGUUACCAGUGUAGGGCAUGGAGCAGAGCUUCACUGUGAUUAAGGACUGGUCCCUAGAAGAAAAGUGAGAGACUAGCUAGAGGAGAAGAGCUGCCCUCGGCCAAGUCAUUCCCUCCUUGAAUCCAUAUGGGAUGUAUUAGUCCUUUGGGGUAAAUAGUACUUUUAUUCUGUGGCUGAAGAAGCUGUGGCUUCAGAAGUUGAGAGUCAUUUACCCAAAUGCAUCCACGAGCCAGCAGCCUCAGGGCACAAUUCAACCCUCAGCUCCAAUGGUUCAUCUAGGUGCUUACCAUCACUCUUGGCUCCGUGGAAGGUUCUUAUCUGUAUCCCGUUUCUACCCUGAGAUGUCUUGCUUUGUUGUGAAAAAGGCCCAGAAUUCUUCCAAGAUACAUACUCCCAAGAGAUAAAAUGCAAUGUGGCCUGGUACUGUGGUGAUGACUCAAUCACUGACCUUUUAAUAAAAAUGCUACUGUGUUCCUAAAUGGAAAACGCCACACAGGAUGAGACUGGCAUUUGGGGAAACCCCUGAUGAGUUGUCUCAGUUGAUUCUAUGACUCACUUAUUUGGUGCUUCUUGGAUUUAUAGUUUAUACGCCAAACUAAAGAGGAAAUAGUUAAACAUAGUCGAAUGGAAUGUUCCCACGUCAUGCAUUUUCCAUUUUUCUCUCUGUUUUGCAUACGCUCAGAGUCUGUGAUAAAGACCUAUUUCAGUAUCUAUAGUUUUCUAAUUAACUAAUCAGAGCAGAAAAGCCAUUGUUUCAUCAAGAUUUUGCCAUAUUUUACAGUUCAAGUGUUUCUUGGGAGUUAAAAAAUAUAUAUACAUUUGUCCCCAGACAUAACCAACAAAGGAAGGCAUGGCAAAGGAGUCAAUGCUUGGCCUGAAGAGGAAGUGCACAUGGUCUGACUGAGGCCACGGAAGCUUAGAGAACCAGGUAGUUAUAGCCCACCAUGGGCCAGUUCACGGACCCCCUGCUCCCCAUCUCCUCUCUACCAGCAUUUCCCCAGCUAAUUUAACUGCAAAACACGUAAGCCCAGAGUGGAGGGAGGUGUAUGUUGACUGUAACUAGUCUGAUUAAAUGCCACUUCUUUUAUUCUGUUGGGAGACAAAAUGGCUGCCGACUUCAUCUGUUUAAAUUGAACUUUAAAUGUCAUUGGUGUCCUAUGUAUUUUGCUUAAAAAUGAGGCUAAGGGUUACUGUGGGGAAUUAUUCUGAGGCUUACAUAAGUCAGA